This 569-nucleotide ribosomal RNA is filed under the name Russula amoenolens. RNAcentral describes it as "LSU rRNA". It matches the Rfam family "Eukaryotic large subunit ribosomal RNA", at positions 58 to 634 of the family's 3401-position model. Lineage: Eukaryota; Fungi; Basidiomycota; Agaricomycetes; Russulales; Russulaceae. The record is from RNAcentral.
AAAGAAACUAACAAGGAUUCCCCUAGUAACUGCGAGUGAAGCGGGAAAAGCUCAAAUUUAAAAUCUGGUGGUCUUUGGCCAUCCGAGUUGUAAUUUAGAGAAGCGUCUUCCGCGCUGGACCAUGCACAAGUCUCCUGGAAUGGAGCGUCAUAGAGGGUGAGAAUCCCGUCUUUGGCAUGGACCCCAGGGCUUCUGUGAUACGCUCUCAAAGAGUCGAGUUGUUUGGGAAUGCAGCUCAAAAUGGGUGGUGAACUCCAUCUAAAGCUAAAUAUUGGCGAGAGACCGAUAGCGAACAAGUACCGUGAGGGAAAGAUGAAAAGCACUUUGGAAAGAGAGUGAAACAGUACGUGAAAUUGUUGAAAGGGAAACGCUUGAAGUCAGUCGCGUCGACCGAGACUCAGCCUUGCUUCGGCUUGGUGUACUUCUCGGGCUGACGGGUCAGCAUCAAUUUCGAUCCUUGGAUAAUGGCWWGGGAAAGGUAGCACCUUUACRGGUGUGUUAUAGUCCUCUGUCGSAUGCAAGGGUGGGGAUUSAGGAACUCAGCACGCGCCUUGUAGGUGUCGGGGCCU